AGAGCGAACGCUGGCGGCAGGCCUAACACAUGCAAGUCGAGCGCCCGUAGCAAUACGGGAGCGGCAGACGGGAUAGUAACACGUGGGAACGCGCCCUUCGGUUCGGAAUAACUCAGGGAAACUUGAGCUAAUACCGAAUACGCCCUUACGGGGAAAGAUUUAUUGCCGAAGGAACGGCCCGCGUCCGAUUAGCUAGUUGGUGAGGUAAUGGCUCACCAAGGCUACGAUCGGUAGCUGGUCUGAGAGGAUGACCAGCAUCACUGGGACUGAGACACGGCCCAGACUCCUACGGGAGGCAGCAGUGGGGGAAUAUUGGACAAUGGGCGCAAGCCUGAUCCAGCCAUGCCGCGUGGAUGAUGAAGGCCUUAGGGUUGUAAAGUCCUUUUAACGGGGAGAUAAUGACGGUACCCGUAGAAUAAGCCCCGGCUAACUUCGUGCCAGCAGCCGC
RNAcentral lists this ribosomal RNA (448 nucleotides) under uncultured bacterium. RNAcentral's name for it is "SSU rRNA". It matches the Rfam family "Bacterial small subunit ribosomal RNA", at positions 26 to 518 of the family's 1533-position model. The record is from RNAcentral.